RNAcentral lists this ribosomal RNA (282 nucleotides) under uncultured rumen bacterium. Its description in RNAcentral is "partial 16S ribosomal RNA". It matches the Rfam family "Bacterial small subunit ribosomal RNA", at positions 149 to 444 of the family's 1533-position model. The record is from RNAcentral.
UCUGGAAACGGAUGGUAAUACCCGAUAACAUUUCCGGAUCAAAGGUGAGAUUCCGCCUGAGGACGGGACUGCGUCCUAUUAGCUAGUUGGCAGGGUAAUGGCCUACCAAGGUGACGAUGGGUAGCGGGCGUGAGAGCGUGACCCGCAUCAUUGGGACUGAGACACUGCCCAGACACCUACGGGUGGCUGCAGUCGAGAAUCUUCGGCAAUGGACGAAAGUCUGACCGAGCGACGCCGCGUGUAUGAUGAAGGUCUUCGGAUUGUAAACUCCUGUCUUAAAGG